UACGGAGGGUGCAAGCGUUAUCCGGAUUCACUGGGUUUAAAGGGUGCGUAGGCGGGCAGGUAAGUCAGUGGUGAAAUCUCCGGGCUUAACUCGGAAACUGCCGUUGAUACUAUCUGUCUUGAAUAUUGUGGAGGUGAGCGGAAUAUGUCAUGUAGCGGUGAAAUGCUUAGAUAUGACAUAGAACACCAAUUGCGAAGGCAGCCCGCUACACAUAUAUUGACUCUGAGGCACGAAAGCGUGGGGAUCAAACAGG
Molecule: ribosomal RNA, 253 nt
Filed under: uncultured bacterium
Lineage: Bacteria
Description: partial 16S ribosomal RNA
Rfam family: Bacterial small subunit ribosomal RNA
Source: RNAcentral